RNAcentral lists this ribosomal RNA (253 nucleotides) under uncultured bacterium. RNAcentral's name for it is "partial 16S ribosomal RNA". It matches the Rfam family "Bacterial small subunit ribosomal RNA", at positions 524 to 776 of the family's 1533-position model. The record is from RNAcentral.
GACAGAGGGUGCAAACGUUGCUCGGAAUUACUGGGCGUAAAGGGCGUGUAGGCGGGAAGGCAAGUCGGGCGUGAAAUCCCCAGGCUCAACCUGGGAACUGCACUCGAAACUGCCUUUCUUGAGUACCGGAGAGGAAAGCGGAAUACCUGGUGUAGAGGUGAAAUUCGUAGAUAUCAGGUGGAACACCAGUGGCGAAGGCGGCUUUCUGGACGGUAACUGACGCUGAGACGCGAAAGCGUGGGGAGCAAACAGG